UUUCUAGUGGCUCAGAUGGUAAAGCAUUUGCCUGCAAUGCAGGAGACCCAGGUUCAAUCCCUGGGUUGGGAA
This 72-nucleotide transfer RNA is filed under the name Bos taurus (domestic cattle). It matches the Rfam family "tRNA". Rfam says of the family: Transfer RNA (tRNA) molecules are approximately 80 nucleotides in length. Their secondary structure includes four short double-helical elements and three loops (D, anti-codon, and T loops). Further hydrogen bonds mediate the characteristic L-shaped molecular structure. tRNAs have two regions of fundamental functional importance: the anti-codon, which is responsible for specific mRNA codon recognition, and the 3' end, to which the tRNAs corresponding amino acid is attached (by aminoacyl-tRNA synthetases). tRNAs cope with the degeneracy of the genetic code in two manners: having more than one tRNA (with a specific anti-codon) for a particular amino acid; and 'wobble' base-pairing, i.e. permitting non-standard base-pairing at the 3rd anti-codon position. RNAcentral also lists the same sequence under 4 other names. The record is from Rfam by way of RNAcentral. Lineage: Eukaryota; Metazoa; Chordata; Mammalia; Artiodactyla; Bovidae.